Molecule: long non-coding RNA, 389 nt
Filed under: Olea europaea subsp. europaea
Lineage: Eukaryota; Viridiplantae; Streptophyta; Magnoliopsida; Lamiales; Oleaceae
Source: RNAcentral
GUAAUUUGUAUAAUUGAAAAAUAUAAAACAAAAAUAAAAAUUUAAUGAAAACCACACAAGUACUUAUUAAGAAACAGGAUCUGAAAUGCGUAAUUUUCCUAACUAAUUCAUAACAUCUCGAAAUCUACUAAAGCUUUAAAUAUUAAUCCCGUAGUCCUUAACAUCUUCAGAGACUGCAGGAGCCACAGUUCACACGAAACUAAGAGUAUUUAAACCGCUUAAAAUUCUAAACUUGAUUUGGGCAGGGGCCGCGCGAACGCAGGCCCCCUCUACCACAAAUUAUGACGUAGGCUCGACCACUUGGGCCGACCUUAGACGGGCGCCCCUCCUAGGUGCAAUGGAGGUCGCCAAUCUAGGCCAUGAGCCUUCUUGAUCACCCAUUGACCCCG